Molecule: ribosomal RNA, 494 nt
Filed under: uncultured bacterium
Lineage: Bacteria
Description: bacterial SSU rRNA
Rfam family: Bacterial small subunit ribosomal RNA
Source: RNAcentral
AACGAAAUUGGCGGGAAUUAUUACGAAUGGUGGAAUAUGUGGUUUAAUGCGAUAAUCCACGUAGAAUCUUACCAACGUGUAAUAAUUCCAAGUUAAUUUUAAUAAAGUUUUUUAAUAUUAAAGUGAAAUUUUAAAGAGUACUGCAUGGCUGUCGUCAGUUCGUGCUUUUGAUGUGUAUAAUUAAGUUUAUAUAACGAACGCAAUCUUACUAAUUUAUUCAAUUAUAUGUAAUUUAUAUAAAAGUAAACUGAAGUCAAGUCCUCACGAUCUUAGUAUGUUGGGCUACACACGUAUUACAAUGAUAAAAACAAAGAAAUUCAAAAAAGUAAUUUAGAGAAAUUUUUAAAAAUUAUCCAAGUGCAGAGUCAUUUCUGAAAAGCAAUGAUGAAGGUGAAAUCAUUAGUAACCAUAAAUUAUUAUGUUAUGGCGAAUUACUACAGUAAUUUUGCACACACCGCCCAUCACAUUCGGAGAGUUUUUCUAUUAAGAAGGGC